CAGACCCCAAAACAGUCUCGCAACCGCCCCACAACCGCCCCCCCCCCCCCCCCCCCUUAUGGGGGAGGUUUAGCCUUUUGUCCUCGCUAAGGGUUGGGCAGUAACCUGCCCCCCACCUUUAUCCUUACAACUCUAAAGCUGUACCCAACGUGGGGUGCUUUGUUUCUGUCACGCCUGUGGCUGGGGGGGGUCCCCUUUUUAAAUGUGUGUUCUCCUUUCUGAAGCAGGGCUGCUCCCGGCCCUAACGGAUAGGAACAAAGAAAGAGCACCAUAAGGCUGCUCUUCUUCCAGGCAGUAAGGGUUCUGGCUUGUGGCAAAGGUUACUCGCCCAGCCCUGCUUCCCAUUACCUUUAUUUGCUAUGACACAAAGCAGAAGGAAGAGCAAAGCCCUGACCUUGAUAAAUUAACAAGAAGUUCGUCACGCUGCAGCCUGUGAAUCAGCAUCUGGGAAAGGCAAAGCCUGGAGCCUGCUCCUUCCCCUCAGGGUUGGUGCUGCCUGCCCUCCGCUCCUGUUUCUUCUGUACCUGCUGCAAGCACCUGCACCUUACCCCUGCACUCAGCUGGCGGCCGAGGGCCAUGGUAACUAAACAGAUACCAUUUGAGUGGGUCACUGCAACUGGCAGCUGAAGCAGACUGGAAGCCAAACACAACACAGUGUCCUGCAAACUGCUGAAAAUUCUGCCUAAAGUCUACAUCUUUCUUCAGUUCCAUAAGUGAGAUACAUCAGCUUCCACCUCAAGAUAUCCCCCUACGUUUUUUAGGUGUACUCCAUCCUCAGGAAAGAGAGGUGUCCACAGCAGCAUUCAAAGCCUUACAAGUUUACAACUAGUUAGUCCUUCGAUAAUCUAUUGAUACUUAUUAUGCUAUCAUCAAAAAUUCUACAGAAAAAUCAACUUAUCCUAUAUCUUUUUAAGCAACUUUCCUUACCUUGAUGCCAUCACACUUUUUUCAUUCAAACAGAAAUCUUGCAGUAUUACUUGCUCCUCUUACAUAAAGAACUAUCAGCAAAUUCUUCGUUGUUCCUUACAGCUUAUGGUCCAUGCUUCACGUCCUUAACUCUGACAAAUAGUAUUCCCUUCUAUUUUCUGCAUUUGCUUUAACACCACAUCUCUCGAUUCUUAUCAACAAUCCCAUCACACAAAACUGCCCCUUUCUGCUACAGGUGCAACUCUCCAGCCCUUCAAGUUCCUUACAAAAAAAAAUUAUACAAAAUAUGAUCAUAGCACAUUAUAUCCGUUCUCUUCAUACAGCAGAAAAUUAUUCUUGUGCAAAUCUCUCCAUGAGAGAGAACACAACAUAAAGGUUGCAAUGACUACAUCGAAAAAUAAAUGAAGUAUAGAAGUAUUAGGCUGGAAUAAGCAUUCUGUGCUUAUGUCAGUACUAUACCGAUGUUAUUUAAUAAGCUAACAUUCAAUCUUUUAAAAUCAUAACGUAAAGAAAAUUGAUUGUCUUCAGGAAAUUUAAUUUCUACACAUGAAUUUCUAAAGGUAUGUUAUUAAAGAUUAAAUUCCAAAUCCUCCAACUGACUUUGAGAGAUGGACCAUUCCACAUCCACAUGAAGUUCAUUAUGGGAUUCGGAAUCAGCCUAUUGUAUCCUCUAAUUAUCCUGUUUUACAACACCAAGUUCUGUAAGUACAAAAUAGAUGGGAAAAUACUCAGAUGCUUACUGAUGCUUGGUAAUAGAUCUUUUGGCAUAUCUCCAAUUGUUUGGCAUUUUAAAGAAUCAUGCAUACUUUUACCAGGAUAGAAGUGACAAUGUUCAAUUUUAAGUAAUUACAACUCCUAGUAUAUGAAGCAAACGAUAAGAACAAUAGUGUAAAUUUAAAGCAAUUUUUUGCUUCUGGUAGUUUUAAUUCCAAUGUAAGUGCUUCUACAUUGAGAUAACUAACAAAGAUCAGAAUAACAUCGCAUAUAUUUUAUAUUCUCGUGAAGAUACUACUAGAGAUUUUAUUUACUUUAAAUGUAAAAUUGUUUAUAUGUGAACUGCUGUCUUGCUUAUUUAGAGUUACAAUGUCAUAAAGCUGAACAGAGAAAGACCGGCUAUGAGAGCGAGAGAUCACCUUUAAGGGAAAUCCCCUAUUGCUCUUAAUUUGUUGGUUUUCUGAUAGUGGAGAAUGCUGGGUGCUCUGACUGUCUACAUCACUGGAGGCUUCUACUGUCAAAUUUUUUACUAUGACGUAUCAACAGAAAACACAGUUUUGCAACUUCUUGCUGCCUGCUCAGUAAGUUUACUAACUCACUACUGGUUUCUUGAGAUGUUUAGCAAGAUUUAAAAAAACAACAUGACCCUGUUGCUGCUGUAUUCCCACCCUACCCCCCCAAAAAAAAAUCACUGCUUCUCUUUUGCAUUCAUAAGAGCAUAAUUCUGUCCUUAAAGAAUUUCAGGCCAAUAAAUGUCUAAAGACUCAAUCACAUGUAAGCAAUCCUGACAUACAAGCAGAAUCCCUCCUUUGCAUAUUGCAUGUUUAAGUCUAGCGCUUUAUCAAGAUUCUAUUGAAACUCCAAUUAAAGCAGGAGGAAGAGGACCGCUUGAAGAAAAGUUCUAAGAAAUAUAAAAUAGUUACCUUGCAUCUUUGGUUUAGUUACAUAUCACUAGCGAAGAUGUUACCACUCCAGUCCCAAGUACAGAAACAAAGAACCCACUGAAUUUAAUAGUUUCAGUCCCGUAAGAAUUCAAAU
This is a long non-coding RNA of Cygnus olor (mute swan), 2679 nucleotides long. RefSeq lists it as uncharacterized. The record is from RefSeq and is a predicted model, not a curated record. Lineage: Eukaryota; Metazoa; Chordata; Aves; Anseriformes; Anatidae. The transcript is spliced from 3 exons.